UGUAACUCAGUGGUAGAGUGCUUGCUUAGCAUGUGUGAGGCACUGAGUUCAAUUCUCAGCA
RNAcentral lists this transfer RNA (61 nucleotides) under Marmota marmota marmota (Alpine marmot). It matches the Rfam family "tRNA", at positions 6 to 65 of the family's 71-position model. From Rfam's summary of the family: Transfer RNA (tRNA) molecules are approximately 80 nucleotides in length. RNAcentral also lists the same sequence under 3 other names. Lineage: Eukaryota; Metazoa; Chordata; Mammalia; Rodentia; Sciuridae. The record is from Rfam by way of RNAcentral.